This 27-nucleotide non-coding RNA is filed under the name Bombyx mori (domestic silkworm). The record is from RNAcentral. Lineage: Eukaryota; Metazoa; Arthropoda; Insecta; Lepidoptera; Bombycidae.
AAACCCGAAAAACCGUGUGUUCACUAC